This is a non-coding RNA of Salvelinus sp. IW2-2015, 510 nucleotides long. The record is from RefSeq and is a predicted model, not a curated record. Lineage: Eukaryota; Metazoa; Chordata; Actinopteri; Salmoniformes; Salmonidae.
UCCGGGGAGUGCCGGCCGUUUGUCUAUGGAGGUUGUGAGGGCAACCACAACCGCUUCAACACCAAACACGAUUGUCAGAGGUGGUGUGGGAAAGAGAGGAGAGGUCUUGAGCCUAGAAGGUGAGAGAGAGCCGCCAAUCAAGACAAUUCUUAUUUUUGUAAAUGCCAGUGUAAAAUGUUCWRAUUUUUGUGCAGAUCUGUUUUUUWAAUAUUUAAAGUAAACUAAUGAUUAUCCACACUUGAGAGAAAUGCCCAUAUAGAGCAGAGCUGCAUGGGUUUCAUAUAUUUGCAUAAUCAUUUKAAAUGCUUUAUCUGUSCCUGUUUGAGCUUGCCAGGCUUAAUAACCCAAUAGAAAAGUCCCAAAACUGCAAAACCCUGCCCAUCUGGGACUCCAGGCAGUCUUAAGCUAACGCUCAAAUUAUUUUUCAAGUAUUUUAACCCAGGUCUAAUACAGGUAUUAUAUUUUCUAUGGACUAUGACAAUUAUAGUUGACACCACCAUGUUGAAUGUU